Molecule: transfer RNA, 68 nt
Filed under: Loris lydekkerianus (gray slender loris)
Lineage: Eukaryota; Metazoa; Chordata; Mammalia; Primates; Lorisidae
Description: tRNA-Tyr
Rfam family: tRNA
About the family: Transfer RNA (tRNA) molecules are approximately 80 nucleotides in length. Their secondary structure includes four short double-helical elements and three loops (D, anti-codon, and T loops).
Source: RNAcentral
GGUAGAAUGGCUGAGUAUAAGCAUUAGACUGUAAAUCUAAAGACAGGGGUUUAAUCUCCUUUUUACCA